UUUGUCCAAGUUUACACAACAGCCAUGUCCCAAUUGCAUUCAUCGUAGAAGCAGAUUUCACAAUAAAUUAUAUUCACAAGCAAAGAAAUGCUGAAUUUUUAUAAGACGUUUAGUGACCUAAAACGUCUUAUAAAAGUUUACAGAGGGAGUAGAUUCCUAAAAUAAUCUUAGUAACUGAAGCCACAUGUAUAACCAACAGGAUGAACACCAAUAACAUGAUAAAGAUGCAACAACAGACACUAGGUACAAAGCUGUGACAAUGGAGCAAAGGAAUGACACGUCCCAGUGACCAUGCCAUUCUAACACUGUAAACCCCAAAGAAAUGCUCAAGGAAGAAAUAAAUAACAUCUGAUUUUCUGGCACAAGAUAAAGAGCAACUAUAAAGAGAAACAACAAGCUGAAUCCUAUCAAUAGCUGCUCAUGGAUUCACCCAAGGCGGAUCUUCUCCCUUUUAUCACAUUUGACAGCUUAAACAUCCAUUUCACAAGCAAGAAGGAAACAAAAUAUGGAUGGUUUGGACUAUCGUGGACAAGGGCGUACAAGGAACGGUGGAAAUGACACCUCAAUGUCGCCAAGCAAACGUGCUUCGCGUUUUUUGAUGGAACAACCGGCUACCUGGCCAUCGAUUGCCUUAGUAUUACCAGCCAGCCUCUUGGUCGAAUCGUCAUCAAGGCAGAUGUCCGUACCAAUCAUUCACCGAUAACUUGGUGGAAUCUUGGCAUGUAUAAAGCCCCAGGCACCACACGAGUAUGUCCCUACUAGCAAAGGAUCUGAGGUAGAUUCAGGUAAAAGCGAGCACCAAGAUUUGAAUCCGGUGGUUUUCAGUUCCCAUGCGCCAACCCAGGAUCGUUUCUCAGGAGCAAUCCGCAACCUUUCAACCAGAAGUGAGGUUUGUUUUUUCCAAGUGAAUUCAGAAGGGAGGUUACUGAAUACUACUGUCUUUCUUACCUGAGUGAGUGUCUGUUGCCAGAUGCCAUGUGUCCAGUUAUAAAAACUACUUCAAGCAUAGAUCUUAUCAUGGAUUGACCUCUGGUUUAUCAAUCAGUCUCAUCAACCUCCCGCCUCACUUGCUAUAUAAAUGAAACAAACGAAACUGUGAGACAAUAUGUGGUAAAUCAACCGUGAAUGAAUGGACGACACGCCACAAUCAUAAUAACUACACCAAAACCUCAGAGUCUGCACGCAGCAUACCAAUGAAACUGGAAUCCAGGAAAAAGCAAAAGACUGAAGCAAAAACGAUGCAUUGUACUGGAAUAUUCUGGACAAAGGCCUGAAAACGAGAUGUGCUGAUUGCGCAAAGCAAACGUGUACCUCAUUUUCGAUGGGACAACCAGCCAGCUGAUCACUCAGUCACAUAUCUGGAUACCGACCUCUUUGGCAGAAUCAUCUUCAUCAUCAAGGUCCACCGACACCUCGGCGGCAUUUUGGCAUGUAUCACAUAUGUGUGUCACACGGCCACGGACACAUCCACGUGAGUGCGCCUCCAUAAUGCACACCUUAAAAUGCAAGAGAUCCAGGAUAAAUUCGAGAAUUCAGGUGAAUGCAAACACCGAAGGAGAUGGCUUUGAGUAGUUAUCAGAGCAUUGUUCCAGGAAAAAAUAUCUGACUUGGAACUUGCAUGAGAACACAUUGCCCGAAGAAACUGACCCUGUCAGCUGUUGGAUCUCUCCCUUCAAUCUCUACCAUUGUGCUCAUUCAUCAGAGUCAGAGAGAUCACUGAAUACAAAAUCCUUACCUGGAGUGUUCCCAGAUACUACCAGGUUCCAGUGAUAAUAACUACUUGAAGCAUGCAUCUUGCCGAUUGACCUUUGGUGUCUCAAUCUCAAUCCCAGCUCCGUCAGCUUUCAACCUCAAAAGCACAAAUAUGUUAAGACAAAGCAUGGUGGAAUCAACCUUGCCAUGAGGGAACAAACUCAAGUGGAAACACCAAAACCUACAGAGUCAAUAAUGUGAGUCCUGGUCAGCUAAUAACCACAGUGACCUACAGCCCAAGCACUAAAGAGCACAAGCCAGCAAAAGUCUGGGCAAGAGUGGUAUAAAUAUGCCUAAAACGACUCAAAAAUAUAAACUGCAUAGAGAUUAUGUGCUCAAUUAACUGCAUUGCUAUGAUAUAUAUGAGACCAUGAGGGUUUUUUUCCCUUCUUAAAGGAACCACGCGUUUUUCCUGGCGAAGAAAUAGUGAGUUUACACAACAGCCAUGUCCCAAUUGCAUUCGUCUCAGAAGCAGAUUUCACAACAAAUUAUAUUCACAAGCAAAGAAAUGCUGAAUUGCAGAAUAUGUAGAUUGCUAAGAUAAUCUUAGUAAUUGAAGCCACAUGUAUAACCAACAGGAUGAACACCAGUAACAUGAUAAAGAUGCAACAACAGACAUUAGCUACAAAGAUGUGGCAAUGGAGCAAAGGAAUGACACAUCCCAGUGACCAUGCCAUUCUAACACUGUAAACCCCGAAGAAACACUCAAGAAAAAAAAUGACAUCUGAUUUUCUGGCACAAGAUAAACAGCGACUAUAAAGAGAAAUAACAAGCUGAAUCCCUAUCGAUAGCUGCUCAUGGAUUCACCCGAGGCGGAUCUCCUCCCUUUAUCAGAGUUUAUUUA
Molecule: long non-coding RNA, 2596 nt
Filed under: Triticum aestivum (bread wheat)
Lineage: Eukaryota; Viridiplantae; Streptophyta; Magnoliopsida; Poales; Poaceae
Description: long non-coding RNA (TAES_LNC001767)
Source: RNAcentral